This is a long non-coding RNA of Humulus lupulus (European hop), 244 nucleotides long. RefSeq lists it as uncharacterized. NCBI's taxonomy places the organism in Eukaryota, Viridiplantae, Streptophyta, Magnoliopsida, Rosales, Cannabaceae. The transcript is spliced from 2 exons. The record is from RefSeq and is a predicted model, not a curated record.
CUGGGGAUAGGAUGCUUGAUGAGAGAGCGCCCAUUGUUUUCCCUUGCUACUGUCGCAACGGUUGUGGGAAUUUGGACUAUAUUUCCUUAUGCGGUGGCUGCUUCAACAACAUUAUUCCUUUACCUGCAACGCCGGUACUCUAGCUAGACAAAACCUUAUACAAAUUUUUGGACUUCCUUUAAUAUAGACAAAAGAUAUCAUGAUAUAGAAUACAAAGAAAAUCAACCAUGGUUUAUAUCUUUGG